ACGGGUGAGUAAUGCCUGGGAAAUUGCCCUGAUGUGGGGGAUAACCAUUGGAAACGAUGGCUAAUACCGCAUAAUGUCUACGGACCAAAGAGGGGGACCUUCGGGCCUCUCGCUUCAGGAUAUGCCCAGGUGGGAUUAGCUAGUUGGUGAGGUAAUGGCUCACCAAGGCGACGAUCCCUAGCUGGUCUGAGAGGAUGAUCAGCCACACUGGAACUGAGACACGGUCCAGACUCCUACGGGAGGCAGCAGUGGGGAAUAUUGCACAAUGGGCGCAAGCCUGAUGCAGCCAUGCCGCGUGUAUGAAGAAGGCCUUCGGGUUGUAAAGUACUUUCAGUCGUGAGGAAGGCGUUGAAGUUAAUAGCUUCAUCGUUUGACGUUAGCGACAGAAGAAGCACCGGCUAACUCCGUGCCAGCAGCCGCGGUAAUACGGAGGGUGCGAGCGUUAAUCGGAAUUACUGGGCGUAAAGCGCAUGCAGGUGGNUUGNUAAGUCNGAUGUGAAAGCCCGGGGCUCAACCUCGNACCGCAUUUGAAACUGGCAGGCUA
RNAcentral lists this ribosomal RNA (544 nucleotides) under Vibrio sp. KR08-30. RNAcentral's name for it is "bacterial SSU rRNA". It matches the Rfam family "Bacterial small subunit ribosomal RNA", at positions 102 to 643 of the family's 1533-position model. The record is from RNAcentral. Lineage: Bacteria; Pseudomonadati; Pseudomonadota; Gammaproteobacteria; Vibrionales; Vibrionaceae.